UUCUUUACUGUUAUCUACAUGAGACUUCUAUUGAAUUAAGGAACAAAAUUUGAUUUUCUGCAAAAUUGAUUUCAAUUUGUUGUCAAUUUCGAAUUGAGUGCAGGUGUGGUAGAGAAAUAAGAGAUUUUUAAAGUGGGGUAUCUAAAAUUCUAAAUAGAGGAGGAGAUGAUUUCCUUUGUCAUUUUACAUAUCAGAUCAGGAGCUUGUAGUGCAACUCGAAAUGUAUCCAGAGAAAACCAAAGAUUAUGUGGAGAAAGUAUUAAAAGAUUUUACCGAACUCAACCAAUCUUUUGUAUUCGUC
This is a long non-coding RNA of Papaver somniferum (opium poppy), 301 nucleotides long. RefSeq lists it as uncharacterized. NCBI's taxonomy places the organism in Eukaryota, Viridiplantae, Streptophyta, Magnoliopsida, Ranunculales, Papaveraceae. The transcript is spliced from 3 exons. The record is from RefSeq and is a predicted model, not a curated record.